Molecule: ribosomal RNA, 254 nt
Filed under: uncultured bacterium
Lineage: Bacteria
Description: partial 16S ribosomal RNA
Rfam family: Bacterial small subunit ribosomal RNA
Source: RNAcentral
GACGAACCGUGCAAACGUUAUUCGGAAUCACUGGGCUUAAAGCGCGUGUAGGCGGGACGGCACGUCGGUCGUUGAAAUCCCCCGGCUCAACCGGGGAAGGGGCGCCGAUACGACCGUCCUGGAGGGGCGUAGGGGGACCUGGAACUUCCGGUGGAGCGGUGAAAUGCGUUGAGAUCGGAAGGAACGCCCGUGGCGAAAGCGAGGCCCUGGACGCCUACUGACGCUGAGACGCGAAAGCGUGGGGAGCGAACAGG